This is a long non-coding RNA of Exaiptasia diaphana, 374 nucleotides long. RefSeq lists it as uncharacterized. The transcript is spliced from 3 exons. Lineage: Eukaryota; Metazoa; Cnidaria; Anthozoa; Actiniaria; Aiptasiidae. The record is from RefSeq and is a predicted model, not a curated record.
ACGUUAUUUGACGGCAAUGAUGGACAGGGAGGUUUGGCGUAAUGUUGUGAACUCCAUGAUCUCGACCACGGUCGACUGAUGAUGAUGAUGAUGAAUAGGAUGGGCAAAGCAAGCCACCAAAAGGGAAACAGAUUAUGGUUGUCAGAGGAUGACAGAAUGACUGUAUAUCAAAAAAAAAUUUACAUGAGCCUAUCAAUGAUAAAUUGUAUUGAGAUAAAGGUGAACUAUUGAGACAAAGUUCCAAGGGUGGAGAUCAUAUCAAUGAAUGCCAUUGUGCAACAGCACUGCGAGUAGAAUGCAGCAUAUCAUUCCAGUGCGCUAAUCCUGACCCUGUGCUGUACAUGUAAGGUCCAACUACGCAUCUUCCAAUCAGC